Molecule: ribosomal RNA, 1372 nt
Filed under: uncultured bacterium
Lineage: Bacteria
Description: bacterial SSU rRNA
Rfam family: Bacterial small subunit ribosomal RNA
Source: RNAcentral
GAUGAACGCUGGCGGCGUGCCUAAUACAUGCAAGUCGAGCGAACAGAUAAGGAGCUUGCUCCUUUGAAGUUAGCGGCGGACGGGUGAGUAACACGUGGGUAACCUACCUAUAAGACUGGGAUAACUUCGGGAAACCGGAGCUAAUACCGGAUAACAUUUAGGACCGCAUGGUUCUAAGGUGAAAGAUGGUUUUGCUAUCACUUAUAGAUGGACCCGCGCCGUAUUAGCUAGUUGGUAAGGUAACGGCUUACCAAGGCGACGAUACGUAGCCGACCUGAGAGGGUGAUCGGCCACACUGGAACUGAGACACGGUCCAGACUCCUACGGGAGGCAGCAGUAGGGAAUCUUCCGCAAUGGGCGAAAGCCUGACGGAGCAACGCCGCGUGAGUGAUGAAGGGUUUCGGCUCGUAAAACUCUGUUAUUAGGGAAGAACAAAUGUGUAAGUAACUGUGCACAUCUUGACGGUACCUAAUCAGAAAGCCACGGCUAACUACGUGCCAGCAGCCGCGGUAAUACGUAGGUGGCAAGCGUUAUCCGGAAUUAUUGGGCGUAAAGCGCGCGUAGGCGGUUUCUUAAGUCUGAUGUGAAAGCCCACGGCUCAACCGUGGAGGGUCAUUGGAAACUGGGAAACUUGAGUGCAGAAGAGGAAAGUGGAAUUCCAUGUGUAGCGGUGAAAUGCGCAGAGAUAUGGAGGAACACCAGUGGCGAAGGCGACUUUCUGGUCUGUAACUGACGCUGAUGUGCGAAAGCGUGGGGAUCAAACAGGAUUAGAUACCCUGGUAGUCCACGCCGUAAACGAUGAGUGCUAAGUGUUAGGGGGUUUCCGCCCCUUAGUGCUGCAGCUAACGCAUUAAGCACUCCGCCUGGGGAGUACGACCGCAAGGUUGAAACUCAAAGGAAUUGACGGGGGCCCGCACAAGCGGUGGAGCAUGUGGUUUAAUUCGAAGCAACGCGAAGAACCUUACCAAAUCUUGACAUCCUUUGAAAACUCUAGAGAUAGAGCCUUCCCCUUCGGGGGACAAAGUGACAGGUGGUGCAUGGUUGUCGUCAGCUCGUGUCGUGAGAUGUUGGGUUAAGUCCCGCAACGAGCGCAACCCUUAAGCUUAGUUGCCAUCAUUAAGUUGGGCACUCUAGGUUGACUGCCGGUGACAAACCGGAGGAAGGUGGGGAUGACGUCAAAUCAUCAUGCCCCUUAUGAUUUGGGCUACACACGUGCUACAAUGGACAAUACAAAGGGCAGCUAAACCGCGAGGUCAUGCAAAUCCCAUAAAGUUGUUCUCAGUUCGGAUUGUAGUCUGCAACUCGACUACAUGAAGCUGGAAUCGCUAGUAAUCGUAGAUCAGCAUGCUACGGUGAAUACGUUCCCGGGUCU